ACGAACGCUGGCGGCGUGCUUCACCCCUGCAAGUCGCACGGAAAGGCCCUGCUUUUGUGGGGUGCUCGAGUGGCGAACGGGUGAGUAACACGUGAGUAACCUGCCCUUGACUUUGGGAUAACUUCAGGAAACUGGGGCUAAUACCGGAUAGGAGCUCCUGCUGCAUGGUGGGGGUUGGAAAGUUUCGGCGGUUGGGGAUGGACUCGCGGCUUAUCAGCUUGUUGGUGGGGUAGUGGCUUACCAAGGCUUUGACGGGUAGCCGGCCUGAGAGGGUGACCGGCCACAUUGGGACUGAGAUACGGCCCAGACUCCUACGGGAGGCAGCAGUGGGGAAUAUUGCACAAUGGGCGGAAGCCUGAUGCAGCAACGCCGCGUGCGGGAUGAAGGCCUUCGGGUUGUAAACCGCUUUCGCCUGUGACGAAGCGUGAGUGACGGUAAUGGGUAAAGAAGCACCGGCUAACUACGUG
This 467-nucleotide ribosomal RNA is filed under the name uncultured bacterium. Its description in RNAcentral is "partial 16S ribosomal RNA". It matches the Rfam family "Bacterial small subunit ribosomal RNA", at positions 29 to 507 of the family's 1533-position model. The record is from RNAcentral.